RNAcentral lists this ribosomal RNA (481 nucleotides) under uncultured bacterium. RNAcentral describes it as "partial 16S ribosomal RNA". It matches the Rfam family "Bacterial small subunit ribosomal RNA", at positions 28 to 507 of the family's 1533-position model. The record is from RNAcentral.
GACGAACGCUGGCGGCGUGCUUAACACAUGCCAGUCGAACGGGAUCCGGGCUUUCGGGUUUGGUGAGAGUGGCGAACGGGUGAGUAACACGUGAGUAACCUGCCCCCUUCUUUGGGAUAACGUCGGGAAAUCGGCGCUAAUACUGGAUAUUCUUGCUGCAUCGCAUGGUGUGGUUUGGAAAGGGUUUCUGGUGGGGGAUGGGCUCGCGGCCUAUCAGCUUGUUGGUGGGGUGAUGGCCUACCAAGGCUUUGACGGGUAGCCGGCCUGAGAGGGUGUCCGGCCACACUGGGACUGAGACACGGCCCAGACUCCUACGGGAGGCAGCAGUGGGGAAUAUUGCACAAUGGGCGCAAGCCUGAUGCAGCGACGCCGCGUGAGGGAUGACGGCCUUCGGGUUGUAAACCUCUUUCAGUAUGGAACAAGGAUCCUUCGUUUGGGGGGUUUGAGGGUACGUGCAGAAGAAGCGCCGGCUAACUACGUG